AAAAGGUGGAAGCUUCCUAGCCGCAGGAUUAAAUUGAAUGGCCAAGAUUGCUUGAUUCUCUAACUCCGGAUAAAGUGAUCCAGAAAGGAUCUCAAUAUGAAAUGACUCGAUUUUACCAAAUUUUAGUGAACAAAGUGAGAUUAAUUUCAGAGAUAAAUCAAUAAUAAGCCUCUUUUAAUAUAAAACCAUUUUUACUUUAUUUUAUUUUGUGUUGUGAAAAUUAGAUAGUCGAAAUUAGGCUCAUUAAGUCUCGAAUUUUCGUGCUUGCAAGUAUAUGAAUCAAAUGACCGUAUAGCAUAUAAGCACGGAGAUCCCACAAAGAUCGAAUUGAUUCUAAAAAUCUUACUACCUAAAUUGAAACAAAUUGUAAUUGAGAAGCUUUAAUGGAAAAUAGAGAAAAUUUGAAUUAAACUAAAAAUGAAAUAUGACUUGAAAAUAAAAUGCAUGAAAUAUUAAAAUUAAAAACAUAAGAAAAGAAGACAUAGGGCAUCCGAAAACACCGUAACCAAUUCUACUUAAUUCCCUUAAUAUGUUAUGCUCAAGUAAAUCCUCGAUAUUGAUGAUCGAUUUUCCCUAAUUUAUUCAAUGGUCAUGGCAUCUGAUUGCAUCAAAAGUAUCCCUCCUUGUUAACCCUCUAUGGCAUCUAGAUGAAUUUAAACAAGUAAGAAUCCGUUAAACUCUAUGGAAAUCGUUGAAAAAUCACACAAACCCUAAUUGAAUGGCAUCUACAAAUAGAUGUUUAUGGUAUUAAUUGCAAGAAGCUAAACCCAAGUUAAGUAUGACAUGACACACCCCGACCUAAAUCAGGGCGUGCUGGCCGUCACGUGAGGGUGAUGUAACCAUGUGCACAUUGCGGAAGCAAUAAUGAUAUGGAGAAAUACGAGUGAAUAAAAAAAAACCAAACUACUAAAAGUACUAGAUAAGAUAAGAU
This 931-nucleotide long non-coding RNA is filed under the name Malus domestica (apple). Its description in RNAcentral is "long non-coding RNA (MDOM_LNC002734)". Lineage: Eukaryota; Viridiplantae; Streptophyta; Magnoliopsida; Rosales; Rosaceae. The record is from RNAcentral.